This 2806-nucleotide long non-coding RNA is filed under the name Rattus norvegicus (Norway rat). RNAcentral's name for it is "long non-coding RNA NONRATT020324". Lineage: Eukaryota; Metazoa; Chordata; Mammalia; Rodentia; Muridae. The record is from RNAcentral.
GGGUUGAGUUAGUGGAGCCUUUGCUCUGCGAUCCUGAGAGAAGCACUUACCCCUGAGGAGCUGCUCUUCUGGGGGUCCCAUCCCCAGACCUUACCACCCCCUGGUGGUACGAUUCUACUUCCUGCCACCCAUAGGUGUGCUCCUCAUAGGACCCUUUGACAGAGCAAGUCAGCCUGAGCGCCUUUGUGUGCUCAGAACUGUGUGACUCUGGGCCAGGUCUCCUGUACACGCGGUGGACAUGUAUCCUAAACUAAAAGGCCUUGUUUUCUUGGAUGACAGAUGGAUUUUUGUCAUUGGUUUAUAUAGGGUCCAAAGACAAUGUUCAGCCUCUGUGCCCAUGGUCCUUGGAAUACAAAGAGGUCUCUGGUCCUGUUACACCAGAAAGUGGUGAGAGGGGCUGAUUGAAGCCACACUUGUUGGCAUCCUUGUUAAGCCCUUUGAAGGCAGUCUCUUUGAGAUAGAUGUCAGAGGCCAGCAUGACCUCUUGUACCUUAGCAGUCUGGUUUGGUCUGAAGUGUCUUUGACUAGAACACAGUGGAAGCCAGGCAGGGAGCAGCUAAGCCGCAGCCACUCACAUGCACACGCACACGUACACGCACACACUCUGGACGCCAAAUGACUGUGGAGAAGGACUUCAAGGAAGGGGGCUGGAUCCUCUCUAAGAGUCACCAGCAUUUUGGUUUCUCUAUAAGCAGCACUUGGAUUCCCGAUGGCAUCACCUGGUGUGGGAAGGUUGUGGUGCCCGCUGCUCCUCUGCCAUCUUUCCGCAGUCCUGGAAAUGGAAGUGCAACACGUAGAAGCACGUGGUCUGUAAAGACAAUGUGGACAGAUGGCCGUAAAGCAGAGACACUACGUUUGUACCUAUCUUGGGCAAGUCAGCUUACUGCCUUAAAGUUAUGCCAAGAAUUUCUAAUGUGAUCACAAGCCAACUUCUUGGUAAAGCUGGGUUUAUUUCAGGUCCAUGUUUUCUUACUCUAGUUAUAAAACAACUUACUGUUCCUCAGUUUGUUAGAGGUGAGGGCUUCCCCAUCCCUGUACUAUCUCCUGUUUGCAUGUGUUGCCCAGGAGUAAGGAAGUCCACUUGACAGUGUUGCCCAGGUGGAGAGUUAAAACCUAAUAUUAAUACAGUUUCCCCCCACAUACGCUAAUUUAUCUGGGAAUGUAAUACCUUAUUAAAUGAUGCCUUCUUUACUCUAAGGUAUUUUCCACUUUACAGAAAAGUGCAAACCAGUAUGUAAUAGGUUGAAACUUCACCUGCUUUUCAGGGCAAACACAACCCUUUCUUUCCACUGGCAGAAGUCAUCUUUCAGGGCCUAAUGACUUGAUAUAAAAGCUUGCUUUAUAGCAUUCGUGUCCAGUACAGAGCGAGAUUUAAAAAUUAUAUAUAUAUAAUGGAAAUAUUAACAUUUCUAGAUUAAAAGUAUGACUGAUCUUUCGUUAUCCACAGUAGCAAGGUGAAAGCACACACAAUCGAAUUCCAUAGAUAAUCAGUGUUUCAACUUCUCUGUCAAACAAUUGAUUUGCAUAUCUUUUCCCUUCCUAUUCCUCUUCCACAAACACCCCCCUUUCACGGGACUAGUUGACAGCAAAGGAAAAGAGGCUCAAAGGAGGGCCAGCAGCCGGCCACCAGGCCAGGGUCCCAGUUAGCUUAGGAGAACGAGCACAAGUGGGAACCUGAAGCAUGGUCUGCCGCUGAGUUCUCUGCUGCCUCCUGACCAGAGAAAACUCUUAGACACACACAGAAACCCCACCAUCUGAGCACAUUUCCUGGCUCCUGGCAAAGCUUGCUUUUCUGUUUCUUCUUUGGAGUUACCUGCAGUCUGAUGUCCUGGUGCGCAGCAAGGGUGCUCUGUCCUCUUGGACUGUGUUGGUUUUGUCUCCUGUAAAAGCAGUUUGGUUUUCUGUGUUCUUAGUGAUGUUUAGAGAGUGGCCCUCCCACCAACACUCUGGCAUAGCACAAAAGCCAUUUUCCCUUUUGUUCUUUCUUGUUUCCUGGUGUUGGGCUUCAGGGUGAAUGAGGGAGGGUUCAUUGUUACAGCUAGGCUUUUGAAGAGCUGGCUACCACAGGUGUAAAUUCUAUUGAUCCCCAGGUACCUUAGAACUCUGGAAGCUUUGGCAGGGCCAGAAGCAGGCACGGUGGGGUUCUGGGACCUCCAUAUGUUAUCACCUGUCUGAGUUUGUGAGAUUUGGAAGAAAAAAAUCUCUCCCCUUGUCUGGUGUCAAAAACAGACGUUCCGAGUUGUGCUUCGAUGGUAGCACCAUCUUCUUGGUGUUCUUUCCAUGUUGCUAACCUUUUUUAAAACAUUUGGGAAGUUUUUUAAAGGCCCGCUUAGCCUGCACAGAGCGAGUCAGAGGCCGAUUUCACUAAGUAGUUUAAUUGCUGUUGUGCUAGUUACACAGCAGGAAUACAAAGGAGGCAGCAGGAAGCACACUGACUGGGGUAGGGAGAGUGCAGGCUUCUCCCUGCGGAGGCUGUAGGGAUGGGCAGGAAAGGACAGCCUCCCUUUGGAGCUGCUAUGAGGCUGGGCCAGGCUCCGCUCUUCCUGCAGGUAUUCGAGGCCAUACACAGUGCUCGCCUUACUUUAAAGCUACUUGCCACAGUCCUGUUACACAGUGUGGAUGUCCUUUUGCAGUCUGGUGUGCAUGCCAUGUGAUCAGGACAGCUUUUCCACCUCCCCUGGUUUCCUAUGAGCAAGUAAAUCUACCCUGAAAUGUUCCAUCUGUACUUAUUUACCUUGUCAGUGUUCGCUAUUGGUUUUCUAAAACAAUCUGAUCAAUAAAUCUCUAAAUCUAUUCGGUCCAAGUU